AGAGUUUGAUCAUGGCUCAGAACGAACGCUGGCGGCGCGUUUUAAGCAUGCAAGUCGAACGGCAGCUUUGGUAGCAAUACUGAAGCGAGAGUGGCGAACGGGUGAGUAAGACGUAGGUGAUCUACCCCUGGAUGGGGGAUAGUCCGUGGAAACACGGGGUAAUACCGCAUGAGGCCUUGGGGGUAAAGCCCUGAGGUGAAAGCUCCAACUGGAGCGUCUGGGGAUGAGCCUGCGGCCCAUUAGGCAGUUGGCGGGGUAACGGCCCACCAAACCGACGAUGGGUAGCCGGCCUGAGAGGGUGUACGGCCACACUGGAACUGAGACACGGUCCAGACUCCUACGGGAGGCAGCAGCUAAGAAUCUUCCGCAAUGGGGGAAACCCUGACGGAGCGACGCCGCGUGGACGAUGAAGGCCGCAAGGUUGUAAAGUCCUUUUGCAGGUGAAGAAUAAGCCGGGGAGUGGAAAGCCCUGGUGAUGACGUUAGCCUGCGAAUAAGCCCCGGCCAAUUACGUGCCAGCAGCCGCGGUAAUACGUAUGGGGCGAGCGUUGUUCGGAGUUAUUGGGCGUAAAGGGCGUGUAGGCGGCCCGAGAAGUCUGGUGUGAAAUCGCAGGGCUCAACCCUGCGGGUGCGCUGGAAACUGACGGGCUGGAGUCCCGGGGGGGAAGCUGGAAUUCCUGGUGUAGGAGUGAAAUCUGUAGAGAUCAGGAAGAACACCGGUGGCGAAGGCGAGCUUCUAUUCGAGGACUGACGCUGAGGCGCGAAAGCGUGGGGAGCAAACAGGAUUAGAUACUCUGGUAGUCUACGCUGUAAACGAUGUGCACUAGGCGUGGGACACGUCGGUGUUCUGUGCCGUAGCUAACGCGAUAAGUGCACCGCCUGGGGAGUAUGCUCGCAAGGGUGAAACUCAAAGGAAUUG
Molecule: ribosomal RNA, 918 nt
Filed under: uncultured bacterium
Lineage: Bacteria
Description: bacterial SSU rRNA
Rfam family: Bacterial small subunit ribosomal RNA
Source: RNAcentral